UCUGUAUUUAUCUUGUUUACCUUCAGGGAUACGAGGUAGGGGACAGACAGGAGAGAGCUGGUGAUUCAUUAAGAAAACACACUUUGUGUUAAGAAGGAAAGAAAAACAGGAGAAGACAGGUUUGUAAGGAACCACCUGCCACCAAACUCGCUGCAGGUAGAUACGAUACAGCCCUGGCUCUUCUCCCGAACCUCCUUUUGUUUCUCCUGGGUGUGUGGCGCCUCCUCCCUGCGUUUGUGUUAGCUCUGCAAAAUACAAGUUAACGUGGGCUUGACACAAAGGAAGGGGACUUCUUUGAAAUAUGAUAUUAAAGGAGUCCAGAAGCGCAUCUAAGUUCCUUGCCCACAACGUGUGCUGGGAUGUGCAACCGCUGGGUUUGUGCACAGAGCGAAUGGCUCCCUAAAACAAGUUACAUGCCUCUCCGCUGUAGAAUCGUAACAAGAAGCACUUGCUCUGUGGAAACUCCGUGUGCUUUACUGAAACUACUUGUCUCUCUUUCCCACUGAACUGUCCCACUAUGAUCUCAUUGCCUUUUCUGGCAAGUGAAUUUCCGUGCAGUUCAGGAACCUGUGGUGAGAGAAAUGGGCACACACAGACAAUUGCUCCUUUCCUGAACGCACCAGGAAGCCUCCAUGGACUACUUCCCCGGUUUCUGACAUGCUAGGUGAAGUUACACUGUCCUGGGAAGGAACGCAGGAACACGAUGGAAUCAUGAUGGGGGAAGAAAUAUUUCAAGCUGCACACUGGAUAAUGAAGAAACAGAUCUGUUCGGUUCAUCUUGUCAAAGACCUGGAUGGUCACCGUCUCCACCCAACAGCUGGGACAGCGGUUGGUGAGAAUCUCUGCCAGUUGCUUCCCGUCAGCCUCCUCUACCUCCGUCGGGGAGAUGUGCUGGAACUCAUCUUUCAGAGAAAGGGUCCUCAGCAGAGCUUUGAAUUUGCUCAACUCGUCCUGGUGGAGCUGCUCCAGAAGAGGUUGCAGGUGGAAACCCAGCUGUGCAGAAGGUAGCAUCUUGACCUACGAGUGAGAUCUGAGCUUUUGGCAUUAAAGAAGUUUCAAGGGAAGAAAUGGAAAGAGACGGUGGAUUGGUACCCCUGUCUCAAAUGCUGACAGCUCCUGUGUCAGGAAAUGCGCUAGUCUCACUGCCUCACCUGCUGCUUUAAGAACAAACCCCCAGAAGAGGUAAAACCCACACAGAAGUCUUUCUUGGCUUGACACAGCAGUUCAUGUUUUGAGAGCCUGGGACCCUUUGGAGAAGACAGAAGUGUCUAAGUUAGGUAGAAGUCCGUGGUGCUGGGUCUCCUGUUUGCAGCAGAUCAUCUGCCAUUUUUUCAGUCAAUUUGAUGUACAAAUGAGCUAAUGAGAACCAUUGAUUUUAACUCUUAGUAGCAACUUGACAUGUCAUUAUCUUAGGAUGUUUAUGGGGCUUGACUUUUAAAUGAGGAUCUUGAGUUGAAAAUAUCUUAGCAGAUAUUCACCACCAUGCAGUUAAGUGGAAUGCCUCCUUAAUUUACUGUUGCUUAAAAAGAAAAUCAUUUCCUGACCCCAACAGACUUGGAUUUGAAAUCCUUGUCCUUUCAUAGUUGAGUGUUUGAGCCUAAAGGGUCCUGAGCUUGAAUUUCCAAUUGUCAGUCAAAUACACUGUCACCCACCUCAUUAAGUGUCUGUGGGCAUUCAUCUGUUCCAAUAAAAGAUUCUCUUGGAUGCCAAGAACAAGUUUAGAACUGAAGUGGCAGCUGUAAAGAUGGGUAAGAACCCUGCCUACUUGGUGUUUAUACCCAGUUUGAGUACACAGGUUGGGUGGGGAAGAAGUGGACACCUCACGAGCAAAUUCAAACAGAAGCAAGUGACAUAAAAAUAUGAGGACAAGUAACACAGAAAAGUAGAAGGUGAUUUUGGAUCACGUGACCAGGGACUUCUUGGAGGAAAGAUUAUUUCAGCUGAGAAGAUGACGAGUAGGAGCUGCCACUUAUGCGAAUUUGUAGGAGAUAAAGUUUGUUUUUUUUUUAAAUUUUGGGAGGGGCAAUUAGGUUUAUUUCUUUAUUUAUUUUAAUGGAGGUACUGGGGACUGAACCCAGGACCUCGUGCAUGCUAAGCUUGAGAGCCUUAAUGCCUUGAUUUUUUUUUUUUUCUAGUUUGCAGAGUCUCUCUGGGCCCUAUGCUCUCAAGUUUGUCUUCAGAUCACAUUUACAAGCAGAUUUCACACUUCUUCCCUUUUGAAAAGAGAUGAUGGCCAUUAGUCCCCCACCUCCUAGUGCCAUGGACGUGCCAGCCAGUGUUAAACGUGCAGCUUCGCCCUUGUUGAAAGGGUUAAAUGAGGUCUUGUGUAAAGACAAUCCUUUAAAACACGAGGGGAGUUUAGAGAGGUUAAGUGAGUGCCAAUUUUCAUCCAGAUGAAAAGUGUAGAGCGAAUAUUCUAACCAAAGCAGGCUUACUUCAGAACCUGUGAUCUCAAUUCCUCUGCUAAUUGAUUCAAAUAGGUAUCACCCUAACAUCCUUAGUAAUCAUGUGCUAAACCAGGAUGAUUCAGAAGAGAAAAAAGUCAACUGAUCGAACACAGAACAAACUGCUUGGUUAAUCUGGGAGACAGUAAGUGAGGUAUGUCAAUACUGAUGGGUUUUCAAGGUUGGUAAUUAUUAUACAAUACUUAUUCUGUAAUUACAGCAGAAAAGAGAAAAGUUAUACAUGCAACAUGACUCUAAUUUCAGGAACUAAGAGAGCCUUACAUGGAAAUAGCAAUGUCCCCCAGACAUUCGGUGGUGGUAUCUGCAUCGCAGUGCAGUGGGGAAAUUCUUACUGCUAAUCUUGUUCUUCUUGUCUUUAAUUAGAACGCGUUUGAUUUGUACGAGGACACCUCUAAUAAGAGAAUGAAUCAGUCACGUUACGGAGACCUGCCAGAGACAGACCCCCCAUAUCCUUUGUAUUUAGCAGACAAGAUUUCCAGAAGAGCAGUUUCAGGACAAUGGUUGGGUAGGAAGCGGGACUGCAAGGACUGAAACAUGCGUGAGUUGUUGUGACUUGGAGGCGUGAGUGUAGAAAGCUCCUGCUAGAAACGACUGGAGAGAAGUGAGAGAUUAGACACAGCUUUAGGGAGAGUGAGAGAUCAGAUACCAGCACCACAUGCCACCCCACGAACUCACUGUCAAGAGUCUCUGCACCCUUGAGAGCACGAGGCGUUUACACACAAAAUGUGUUAUUCUGCGUUGUUCUCAUUUGGGUGAAGUUAAUCCAAUUUAUAUUCAUAUUUCAGUGACUUCGGGAAGCCGAGUUUCAGCAAGAGAGAGAGAAAAAAACCUGUUUAAAGUUAUAGAAGGAGUCAUUGGCGGGGGCUCCCCUCCAAGAGUUUCUGUCUUUGCACAAAGAGGAGUUUGACUUGAAACCUCAGUAAUCCUUUAAAGGUUUGACAUUCAAACAUUCGAAGAAAGGAAGGAAGAAUUUUUAUUUAGAGACUUAGUUGAAUAAAGUAAGACACGAAGUGAAAAAGCAGGGCUGUUACUCACCUCUCCAGCACUCGGCCCUACCCCCGGCUGAGUGCUACAGGCACAGAAAACCGCCUGUAAAAGAGUUUCUCUUUAUUCCCAAGCUCUGUGAUUGGCCCUUGGGGCCCAAUCCCAUCGCAGAGAACUUCCUGCGUGAUGACUGACAGGUGGAGCCCAUUUCCUCAACUGGAACGUCAAAUUCUCCCAGACCAGCGGUUCCCAACCUUUGCCGCAUGUUGAACACUUCCCUGGGGCAUUAUUUCAAAGUAUCAAUGCUCAGACAUUCUGAUUUAUAAGUCAGAUUGCCGAUGCCCAGACAUCGGGGUUCUUUAAAGAUCCCCAGAUGAUUGUAAUUGUAGCCAAGCUUGACAACCACUGCUUAGAACCUUCAGCUGUGAUGAGCUGCCUCCUGUCAAACCAGAUACAUUAAAAUCCAUCCGUAUUUCACACUGAGUAGGAGACACGUUAAAUGCAAGAGGAGCACCAAGAGCCUACUUCAUCAGUUUCACACUGAUAACGUUAAUUUUUGUAGGCAGGUAAUAAGACUUCGAGAUUCGGGGUGUUGAAAGUCCACAAGUGAUAAAUGCUGGUGAGGGUGUGGAGGAAACAGAACCCUCCUUCACUGCUGGUGGGAAUGCAGUUUGGUGCAGCCACUGUGGACAACAGUAUGGAGAUUCCUUAAAAAGCUAAAAAUAGAGUUGCCAUAUGAUCCAGCAAUCCCACUCCUCGGCAUGUAUCCGGAAGAAACUCUAUCUCUAAAAGACAUGCACCCCAAUGCUCAUAGCAGUACUAUUUACAAUGACCAAGACAUGGAAGCAACCUAAAUGCCUAUUGACAGAUGACUGGAUAAAGAAGUUUUAUAGCACAGCCAUAAAAAAGAAUGAAAUAAUGCCAUUUGCAACAAUAUGGAUGAAUCUUGAGAUUAUCAUACUAAGUGAAGUAAGUCAGAAAGAGAAAGACAAAUAUCAUAUGAUAUCACUUAAAUGUGAAAUCUUAAAAAGUGAAACAAAUAAACUUAUUUACAAAACAGAAACAGACGCACAGACAUAGAAGACAAACUUAUGGUAGCCAAAGGGGAAAGGGGAGGAGGGAUAAAUUAGGAGUCUGGGAUUUGCAGAUACUGACUAUUAAAUAUAAAAUAGAUAAACAACAAGGUCCUGCUGUGCAGCACAGGGAACUCUAUUCAAUAGCUUGUAAUAACCUGUAAUGAAAAAGAAUGUAUAUGUAUAACUGAAUCAUCAUGCUCAAGACUAACACAACACUGUGAAUCAACUAUACAUCAAUUAAACAUUAGGGUUUUGAAGUUUUCAUGUUUUAGAACCAACAUAUCUGUAUCUGUGUCCACCUCUCCCCACCCCUCUCUAUCUGCUCAAAAUUGAAGUCUCCUAACCAACACGGUAUACUCUACAGUGAACUGAACACGGUAAGUUUAACACAAUAAAAUAAUACAACAGGCAAGUCAUAUAAGCCUCGUGUAUAAUUUUAAAUUUUAUAAUAGCUCCAUUAAAUAAGUAAAAGAAACCAGAUAAAAUUAAUUUUUUAUGAUAUAUUGAACCCAGUGUAUCCAAAAUACUAUUUCAGCAUGUAGUCAGUAUAAAAAUAAUUGAGGUAUUUUAUCUUCAACAUUUGGUGUUAAGGCUUCAAAAUCUGAUCUGUAUUUCACACUCAUGGCACAUUUCCACUUAGAUAACCCACGUUUCUGGUUUUCAGGAGCCACGUGUGUCCAGUGGCUGCCAUAUGGGCUAGGUCUAGACCCAAGGACAGGAAAGUGACCUCUGGCUUUAAAAGGGAGGAAGGUUAAGGGUUCCAAAGGACUGGUCUCCUGGCAUGGGGUUAUUUCUUUCACAUUCUUGAUAUCAUGUCCCAUAGUAAAAGGGAGAUAAACCUUGAACCUUCAGACCUGAGAAUCAACACAGCAAGAGCUGCCAUUCAGGUCACAGUGCUCGGAGAAGGACGUUCAUCCCUCUGCACCCACCUAGGCUGUGCCAGCUCGGUCAAGUUUCCUCACCUUUGCGCCUCAGUGCCUGCCUCAUAGGGUUUCAGGGUGGUGAGAAAGCUGCCUCCUUGCUGGAGAGACUGCGGCAGAGAUCUCGAUGCGGGCGGAAGGCGGAGGGCUCCGCUCCGGGCCCUGGCGGCAGAGGUACUGGGGAUUGAACCCGGGACCUUGUCAUGCUCAGCACGUGCUCUACCCCUGAGCCAUACCUUCCCCCCUCACCUAACUUUCUUCACCCACGAGACCACCGCUUGGCAAACCUUCUCUGUAAAUGGCAAGACAGUAAGUAUUUCGGGCUCUGUGCACCACAGUUCUCCAAGUUCUCCGCCCCAAAGACUGGACUUUGCUGUUGUGAUGGAAAAGGAGCCACAGGCAAUAUGUAAAUGAGCACGGACGCUCUGAUAAAGCUUUGUUUACAAAACAGGCAAUGGGCCAGAUUCGGCCCAUGAGUGAGCCUUUGCCAGUCCCUGGUCUGGUGUAAAACUGCAGGCUGAGGGCCGGUCUCCUGUUUCUGUAAGUGAAGGAUUGAUAAAACGGCCGCACUUAGGCUAACAGAUCACUUGUCCGUAAGCUCACCCUUAAACAGCCAACUGACCUGACUGACCGGCUGCUACUCACAGCUCCAGGCCCACUGUUAAAACUAAAGCUACUCACCUUACUGUUUCUACUUUAGUCCAGUCAUCAAAAGCUGUAAUCAUGCUUGGUCUCUGAGUCAAUACCCAGGGAGAAGGUCACAGGACUGUAACCUUACAAAAUAGCCUGAAUUACCAAGAAGACCACACCGUGAGAUCUAACCUCUGGCCUCCAUAGAAUUGGUCGCCUGGAGGCAUCAUGACGCCAUUCUGAGUCUUCUGAUGAGAAAAUGAUUCUGCUGAUUGUUCUGCUUUAUUGUUUGAGCUCUGGCUGUAUACCCACCCCACCCCACCCCCAAAGUGGGUUCACAGUUUUGAAGGCACCAGCCUGCUGUGAGUCCCCUUUGCCCGGCAAAGCAAUAAAGCUGCCUCGUUUUUUUUCUAAGCUCCAAGACCUUGUCUCUGGGUUAUUUGGCUCGUCAGGGAUGGGGCCGAUCCUUCGGCAACAUAAAUAAAGUUUUAUUGGAACACAGUCACACCAUUUAUAUUAACAGUUCGCUGACUUCUGCCCGACAUCACUGGUUCUCAACCUUGGCUGCCCCUUGGAAUAAUCUGGGAGCCUUAAGGAAUUUUACUGCUGGGGUCCCAUUCCAAUUGAAUCAAAUCAAACCUUAAUCUCAUCAAAAUGUGGCAGUGUGGGAGGAAGAAAUCUGGUUCCCAGGAUUUAAAACAAUUCUUUAGUUGAUCUGAAUAUGCAACCAAGCUUGAAAAAUCACAGUACCAAAGCCAUCUCUCUUAAGUUGAUGUCUCUUAAUUAUCUGUAUUAGAAACAGCUGGGAAUUUUAUAAAUGAUACUGUUUCCCAAGUCCUGUCCUUGGCUGAGUGAAGAAGCCACAGAGCCAAUCUUUAACCUUUCCCCUCCACCAUUCCCGUACCCCCCGUUAAUUCUUAGUCAAAUUGAAGUUUGGGAACAAUCGCAGGAGACCAGCGGUUGGCAAAUGUUUUCUAUCAAGGGCCAAAUAGUAAAUAUCUGAGAGCCAUCUGGCUCCUGUUGCAACUCUAACUCUACCACGAUGGUGUGAAAGCGGCCA
Long non-coding RNA from Camelus dromedarius (Arabian camel), 7135 nucleotides. RefSeq lists it as uncharacterized. The record is from RefSeq and is a predicted model, not a curated record. The transcript is spliced from 4 exons. NCBI's taxonomy places the organism in Eukaryota, Metazoa, Chordata, Mammalia, Artiodactyla, Camelidae.